CUGAUACAGUGCCAUUCAGGCAGUGUGCACUCGCCAAACAUGUUAUUGAAGGCUUCAACCUUCAACCAAAAACGUCUAAUCUAUGCCGUGUAACAAGGGAGCUUUAACCAUGUCUUGUGAUCCUACUCCCUGGCACUCCUCCAUGUGUCAGCUACAGGGCGGAUGUUGACCCGGCUGAAGUUUGUUACAGGGGAACUGAUAUCCAGAGAAUAUCAAGAAGCUGAAGCUUCCCAGACCCCAGCUCCUCGCUUCCUGGCACCAGAAUUCACCAUCUGCCACGGAGACAGACAGCCAAGGGCAUCCACCUGCAGAUUCCCUUACCUCGCCAUUCCCUUCUCUGUGAGGCACAAAAAAGAAAUUCCAGAUAAACACUAAACAUUCUAAUUAAACAGAAAAACGGAGAACUAAAAUUUGUUUUCGAC
RNAcentral lists this long non-coding RNA (422 nucleotides) under Equus caballus (horse). Its description in RNAcentral is "lncRNA (ENSECAG00000046349.1)". The record is from RNAcentral. Lineage: Eukaryota; Metazoa; Chordata; Mammalia; Perissodactyla; Equidae.